This 697-nucleotide long non-coding RNA is filed under the name Mus spretus (western wild mouse). RNAcentral describes it as "lncRNA (ENSMSPG00010036472.1)". The record is from RNAcentral. Lineage: Eukaryota; Metazoa; Chordata; Mammalia; Rodentia; Muridae.
AUUUCUAUUUUUCUGAGAUGGAAAACGGCUCAUGAUUGCCUGUUCCCCCAAUGAGAGCAUCGGUGGAGUCAGGGAUCUCCUGCAGUACAUCUGGUACUAUCAGAUCUAUCAAGAGAGACUCGGCUUAGGCAAUGCAUCCAGCAACCUACAGAUAGUAAAUGGAGAUGCCAAAUCCAUACUGAGACUUAGCGAGGUGGCUUGAGGCAAACAAAUACAGGUCUGACAGAGAUGCUGCAGUGUGGUUCGAAAGAUAACAUGCAUACCCAAAAAUUGAUGGAGCUCAAUGAAGUAAUGAAGGAGAGCCAGUGAGUUUCACUGGUAUCUGUGUCAGCCAGGAUCUCCUCAUUCCAGAAGAAGAACUGCAGGGGUCUAGGGUAUCCUUGUGUAUCAACCAGGAAAUGGAGAAGCCUGUUCUAAGUUCACUUGAAGCCAAAUUACAAAGGAGCAGACGGGAUCCCAGAAACAAAGAUGGCACCAGCUACGAUUUAAGAUUCCAAGAUGAAUCUGGAGUGGACCAAGAUCUGGUGUAGAGACUUACACCCUGUAUCAGCCAGCUGCCUGUGACAGCGACAAACAUCUGAGAUGGGUCAAUUUAAGGCGAGGAACUGGGAGAUGGCCCGGAUGGUAAAGCAUUUGCUGUGUAAGAAGGAGAGACUGCCUUCAGGUCCCCAGUACCAAGGUAAAAAGCUGGCUGCAG